ACGAACGCUGGCGGCGUGCUUAACACAUGCAAGUCGAACGGAAAGGCCUGCUUUCCCUUGUGGAUUGCGGGUACUCGAGUGGCGAACGGGUGAGUAACACGUGAGUGAUCUGCCCCCAACUUGGGUAUAAGCCUGGGAAACUGGGUCUAAUUCCCGAUAGGACUGCAGGGUGGUGCCUGUGGUGGAAAACGAUUUUCUAGUGGUUGGGGAUGAGCUCGCGGCCUAUCAGCUUGUUGGUGGGGUAAUGGCCUACCAAGGCGGCGACGGGUAGCCGGCCUGAGAGGGUGGACGGCCACAUUGGGACUGAGAUACGGCCCAGACUCCUACGGGAGGAAGCAGUGGGGAAUAUUGCACAAUGGGCGGAAGCCUGAUGCAGCGACGCCGCGUGGGGGAUGACGGCCUUCGGGUUGUAAACUCCUUUCGACCGCGAGGAAGCCACCUGGUUGGAAGGGUGGUGACGGUAGUGGUAGAAGAAGCACCGGCUAACUACGUG
RNAcentral lists this ribosomal RNA (493 nucleotides) under uncultured bacterium. RNAcentral's name for it is "partial 16S ribosomal RNA". It matches the Rfam family "Bacterial small subunit ribosomal RNA", at positions 29 to 507 of the family's 1533-position model. The record is from RNAcentral.